This 72-nucleotide transfer RNA is filed under the name Bathytyphlops sewelli (Sewell's spiderfish). RNAcentral's name for it is "tRNA-Thr". It matches the Rfam family "tRNA". Rfam says of the family: Transfer RNA (tRNA) molecules are approximately 80 nucleotides in length. Their secondary structure includes four short double-helical elements and three loops (D, anti-codon, and T loops). Lineage: Eukaryota; Metazoa; Chordata; Actinopteri; Aulopiformes; Ipnopidae. The record is from RNAcentral.
GCCCUAGUAGCUCAGCGUUAGAGCGCCGGUCUUGUAAUCCGGAUGUCGGAGAUUAGAUUUCUCCCUAGUGCU